RNAcentral lists this ribosomal RNA (207 nucleotides) under uncultured bacterium. RNAcentral's name for it is "partial 16S ribosomal RNA". It matches the Rfam family "Bacterial small subunit ribosomal RNA", at positions 568 to 774 of the family's 1533-position model. The record is from RNAcentral.
CUUGUAGGCGGCCUGUCAAGUCGCGUGUGAAAUCCCCUGGCUUAACCAGGGAAGUGCGCGCGAAACUGGCGGGCUUGAGUGCCGGAGAGGGUCGCGGAAUUCCCGGUGUAGAGGUGAAAUUCGUAGAUAUCGGGAGGAACACCAGUGGCGAAGGCGGCGACCUGGACGGACACUGACGCUGAGACGCGAAAGCGUGGGGAGCAAACA